CUUUCUCUCUGUGUGUGUGGCUGUGUCUUUAAAUGAAUGUGUGUACGCGUUAAUAAAACACAAAUAAUAACAAAUUCGUGAGACUUGCUGCAUUUUAGUCGUUGUUGCAGUUCCGCUGUGAACCACUGUGUUGCCGUCUCAGCUCGCGCCGCGCUUUGAAUUUGUAUUUGUACAUUUCACAUCGUCUCUCUCUCACACUGCCGCCGCCGCCGCCAACGACGCUGCACGCACACACACAUUCGCAAGCCGCACGCAAAACCAAACACACACACAUUCAUAUAUACAAAUGCGGAAGAGUCGCCGCAGUCGGCAUAUUUAGAUCCCCACCGUUGCCAUCAACAAUAAUUUUCGCUGCCGUUGCCUCUGUCGCCGCCGCAGUCGUCGCUCAAUAAUUGUGCAUUUUGUUAAAAGUCGCCAGCAGCAACAGCAACAACAGCAGAAUAA
Molecule: long non-coding RNA, 444 nt
Organism: Drosophila arizonae
Lineage: Eukaryota; Metazoa; Arthropoda; Insecta; Diptera; Drosophilidae
Gene: nmo
Source: RefSeq, a predicted model, not a curated record